RNAcentral lists this ribosomal RNA (378 nucleotides) under Easonobius tridentatus. Its description in RNAcentral is "partial 16S ribosomal RNA". It matches the Rfam family "Bacterial large subunit ribosomal RNA", at positions 1923 to 2533 of the family's 2925-position model. The record is from RNAcentral. Lineage: Eukaryota; Metazoa; Arthropoda; Chilopoda; Lithobiomorpha; Henicopidae.
UUAAAUGGCCGCAGUAUUUUGACUGUGCGAAGGUAGCAUAAUCAUUAGUUUAUUAAUUGUAAACUGGUAUGAAAGGCUACAUGAGAAUGGACUGUCUUUUUUAGUAUUAUGAAGUUAAGAUUUUUGUGAAGAUGCAAAAAUUGUUUUAGGGGACGAGAAGACCCUAUUAAGCUUUAUAUGUGAAUCCUGUGGAGGAAAUGAGAGGAGUAAAUAUUAUGUUGGGGCGACAGUAGAAGUUAACAUCUAUUAGGAAUUUAUAAUAUAAUUAUAGUUUUAAUGACCCAAAAUUUUUGGUUGAAAGAAUAAGUUACUGUAGGGAUAACAGCGUAAUUUCAUUGGAGAGUUCAUAUUGAUGAUGAAGAUUGCGACCUCGAUGUU